This 77-nucleotide transfer RNA is filed under the name Flavobacterium sp. Its description in RNAcentral is "tRNA-Ile". It matches the Rfam family "tRNA". Rfam says of the family: Transfer RNA (tRNA) molecules are approximately 80 nucleotides in length. Their secondary structure includes four short double-helical elements and three loops (D, anti-codon, and T loops). The record is from RNAcentral. Lineage: Bacteria; Pseudomonadati; Bacteroidota; Flavobacteriia; Flavobacteriales; Flavobacteriaceae. RNAcentral also lists the same sequence under 227 other names.
GGGCCUAUAGCUCAGUUGGUUAGAGCAGCGGACUCAUAAUCCGUUGGUCGACAGUUCAAGUCUGUCUGGGCCCACCA